Long non-coding RNA from Capra hircus (goat), 844 nucleotides. RefSeq lists it as uncharacterized. The record is from RefSeq and is a predicted model, not a curated record. NCBI's taxonomy places the organism in Eukaryota, Metazoa, Chordata, Mammalia, Artiodactyla, Bovidae. The transcript has 5 exons.
UCCUGUUCAGUAUAAUUCCAAUUCCUUUAUGGCCCUUUUUAUAUCCUUUAGCAAUACAGACUAGUACAGAACCAUCACCAAAAGGUUUCUUACUGGUUUGGAACAUAGGGAAGAAUGGAAGUGUUUGAUGAAAUUGGGCAGAGAAAUCUUGACUGAGGAAGUUGGAGGAGUGCCAGUUUCUAGGGCAAGGUGGCAGAGAAGAAGGACCCGAGCUCACCUACUCUCAUGAAAAAAACAAAAUCACAACUAACAGCUGAACAAUCAUCAACAAAAAAGACUGGGAACCUACCACUAAAAAGAAGAGGCCAUAAUGAGACGGCUCUUUGGCAGAAGGAGAACAUGAGUUUUAGAUCUGUGGGUUCUGAGGAUUAUAACAUGGGAAGCAUGUUUCAAACUGACUAUCACAGAGUCAAGAGUGUCUUUGGAAAAUACAUCACACAUUCACCUGCUCAGAAUAGAAACAACCCAUAUAUUCCACAGUGAAGAAAGAAUAUCAAGAGAAGCAUUGUCAGAGCUUCUGGAUAUUUCUUACCAUAUGAGGAGUUAAGAAGUGAAUGUGGAAGCUUCAUGAAAUUCAAAUAUUUUAUUAAUAUAAUUGAAAUUGUUUUAUGAUUUGGGAACUUACUGAUAAAGCUUUGUAAAACUGUAGAUAAUAAACUAUAUUUAGUUACAUAUUGAAUAAGUCAUUUUCAUCAAAGUCACCCUGCUCUUUUAUUGUACUUACAAAGCUUUAUUACAACAAUAACAUUUGUAAUUUUUAUUCAUUGUUUAAUAUUGUUUGUUCCUUACUUAACUGUAAGCUCCAGGAAUGCAGGAACCAUAUUUUUUAGUUUAUCAUUGUAAA